RNAcentral lists this ribosomal RNA (807 nucleotides) under Hyphomicrobiales bacterium. RNAcentral's name for it is "Rhizobiales bacterium partial 16S ribosomal RNA". It matches the Rfam family "Bacterial small subunit ribosomal RNA", at positions 577 to 1401 of the family's 1533-position model. Lineage: Bacteria; Pseudomonadati; Pseudomonadota; Alphaproteobacteria; Hyphomicrobiales. The record is from RNAcentral.
AGGAAAUAAGUGAGGGGGAGGAAAUCCCGGGGCUCAAGCCGGGAAACGGGCUUUGAUACUGGGGGUCUCGAGUUCGAGGGAGGCCAGUGGAAUUCCGAGUGUAGAGGUGAAAUUCGUAGAUAUUCGGAGGAACACCAGUGGCGAAGGCGGCUCACUGGCUCGAUACUGACGCUGAGGUGCGAAAGCGUGGGGAGCAAACAGGAUUAGAUACCUGGUAGUCCACGCCGUAAACUAUGAGAGCUAGCCGUCGGGAGUUUACUGUUCGGGGGGCGCAGCUAACGCAUUAGGUUCUCCCGCCUGGGGGGUACGGUCCCAAGAUUUAAAACUCAAAGGAUUUGACGGGGGGCCCCCCCCAAGGGGGGGAGCAUGUGGGUUUAAUUCGAGCAACCCGGAAAACCUUAACAGCCCUUUGAAAUUGGGUCGGGCUUCCAAAAAUGAAGCCUUUCAUUUGGGCUGGGCCCCAAAAAAGGGCUGCAUGGGUGUCCACAGCCUCGUGUCGGGAGAUGUUGGGUUAAUCCCCGCAACGGCGCAACCUUCGCCUUUUGUUGCCAGCUUCAGUUGGCCCUCUAGGGGCUGCCCGGGAAAAACCCGGAGGAGGUGGGAUGACGCAAGUCCUCGUGGCCCUUACGGGUGGCUAACACGUGCAAAAUGGUGGUGCAAGGGGCAGCAGGCCCGAGGCCAGUAAUUUUCAAAAGCAUCUCUUUCGAAUGGCACUCUGCACCUCGGUGCCAUGAAUGUGGAACCCGUAAGUAUCGAGAUUCACAUCCGGGGGAAAACUUUCCGGGCCUUUGACACACAGCGGUCACC